Molecule: ribosomal RNA, 483 nt
Filed under: uncultured bacterium
Lineage: Bacteria
Description: partial 16S ribosomal RNA
Rfam family: Bacterial small subunit ribosomal RNA
Source: RNAcentral
AUUGAACGCUGGCGGCAGGCCUAACACAUGCAAGUCGAGCGGAUGAAGGGAGCUUGCUCCUGGAUUCAGCGGCGGACGGGUGAGUAAUGCCUAGGAAUCUGCCUGGUAGUGGGGGAUAACGUCCGGAAACGGGCGCUAAUACCGCAUACGUCCUGAGGGAGAAAGUGGGGGAUCUUCGGACCUCACGCUAUCAGAUGAGCCUAGGUCGGAUUAGCUAGUUGGUGGGGUAAAGGCCUACCAAGGCGACGAUCCGUAACUGGUCUGAGAGGAUGAUCAGUCACACUGGAACUGAGACACGGUCCAGACUCCUACGGGAGGCAGCAGUGGGGAAUAUUGGACAAUGGGCGAAAGCCUGAUCCAGCCAUGCCGCGUGUGUGAAGAAGGUCUUCGGGUUGUAAAGCACUUUAAGUUGGGAGGAAGGGCAGUAAGUUAAUACCUUGCUGUUUUGACGUUACCAACAGAAUAAGCACCGGCUAACUUCGU